GACGAACGCUGGCGGCGUGCUUAACACAUGCAAGUCGAACGGAAAGGCCCUGCUUUUGUGGGGUGCUCGAGUGGCGAACGGGUGAGUAACACGUGAGUAACCUGCCCUUGACUUUGGGAUAACUUCAGGAAACUGGGGCUAAUACCGGAUAGGAGCUCCUGCUGCAUGGUGGGGGUUGGAAAGUUUCGGCGGUUGGGGAUGGACUCGCGGCUUAUCAGCUUGUUGGUGGGGUAGUGGCUUACCAAGGCUUUGACGGGUAGCCGGCCUGAGAGGGUGACCGGCCACCUUGGGACUGAGAUACGGCCCAGCCUCCUACGGGAGGCAGCAGUGGGGAAUAUUGCACGAUGGGCGGAAGCCUGAUGCAGCAACGCCGCGUGCGGGAUGACGGCCUUCGGGUUGUAAACCGCUUUCGCCUGUGACGAAGCGUGAGUGACGGUAAUGGGUAAAGAAGCACCGGCUAACUACGUG
RNAcentral lists this ribosomal RNA (468 nucleotides) under uncultured bacterium. RNAcentral describes it as "partial 16S ribosomal RNA". It matches the Rfam family "Bacterial small subunit ribosomal RNA", at positions 28 to 507 of the family's 1533-position model. The record is from RNAcentral.